This 731-nucleotide long non-coding RNA is filed under the name Homo sapiens (human). Its description in RNAcentral is "HSALNT0409094". Lineage: Eukaryota; Metazoa; Chordata; Mammalia; Primates; Hominidae. The record is from RNAcentral.
UACCCUGGGUUCCGGGCAGGGGUGGAACUGGAUUCUGCCUGGAUGGGGAUCGGAUGGGGGUGGAGGUUUGAUUUGGGAAGCAGAGCACAGCAGCCCAAAUUUGUUGUAAUGGCGGCGGCUACAGGUUUCCUAGGUGUCCCCUGGGCUAGAGAAUGCUGCGUUUGCUACGCCGGGUCAGGACUUGGCAUAUGGCAUAAGACACACAGAGAGAGCCUUGCUGGUGUAGCUGAGAUUUACGACCCUCAUCCAACCAAACCAUUUCAGAUUCUUGGGGCUCAGAGCUCUCAUCGGAAAGACAUCUAUUCUGGGAGCAGGUACCCUUGUGACUAUGAAGAUUGACAAAAAGUUGACGGCAACGAUGAAUUCUCUUCCAGAACUUACAUCCCAGAAGGCCCUCCCCUACUUCGGGUCUCCCUAGAGAGUGGAGAGACCUGCUGCCCUUGAAGAAGCAAACAGCCAUGUUGUGAGCUGCCUAAGCCUCUAGGUCUUGAGGGAAGCUUACAGUUAAGAGCCAGCAAAAGCCAGGGCCCUCAGUCAUGCCACACAAGGAAACGAAUCCUGCCAGCAACUAUGGGGGCUUGGAAGAGGAUAUUAAGCUUCAGUUGAGAAUGCAGCCUGACUGACACCAUCAUUGCAGCCUUGUGAGACCCCAAUCAGAGGACCCAGCUGAGCUGUACCCAGACUCCUAACCCACGGAAACUGAGAAAAUAAAUGUGUGCUAUUUAUAGCUG